GGAUGUGAGGGUGAUCUAGCUGUGACAUCUACCACCCCAUCGAUCACCAGGGUUGAUUCAGCGGAUCUGGCCAGCUAGGUGGGUAUUCCUUCCCCCCUCAUGUUCCCUCCCAUGUGCAUCCCUCCCAAACCUCUGUGAUCACUCAGGAGAGGAUGACUACCCCUGCUAGAGGAGGACGGUUCUUUGAUCUAUUAGCUGCAUUCCCCUGCUGGGACCCCAAGCAAGCUCUCAAGAAAAUUUUUUAAAGCCCUUUUAAAAGUUCUUCCUAUAUAUAUUAAUUAUAUGUAUAAUCCCUGUGUAUAUACAUAUGUAU
Molecule: small nuclear RNA, 313 nt
Filed under: Carlito syrichta (Philippine tarsier)
Lineage: Eukaryota; Metazoa; Chordata; Mammalia; Primates; Tarsiidae
Description: 7SK RNA (ENSTSYG00000022019.2)
Rfam family: 7SK RNA
About the family: 7SK was discovered as an abundant small nuclear RNA in the mid-70s but a possible function has only recently been suggested. Two independent studies have found that 7SK RNA binds the CDK9/cyclin T complex (known as elongation factor P-TEFb).
Source: Rfam by way of RNAcentral